RNAcentral lists this ribosomal RNA (239 nucleotides) under uncultured bacterium. RNAcentral's name for it is "partial 16S ribosomal RNA". It matches the Rfam family "Bacterial small subunit ribosomal RNA", at positions 1253 to 1500 of the family's 1533-position model. The record is from RNAcentral.
CACAGCGAUGUGAUGCCAAUCCCUAAAGCCCCUCUCAGUUCGGAUCGAAGUCUGCAACCCGACUUCGUGAAGCUGGAUUCGCUAGUAAUCGCGCAUCAGCCACGGCGCGGUGAAUACGUUCCCGGGCCUUGUACACACCGCCCGUCAAGCCAUGGGAGCCGGGGGUACCUGAAGUACGUAACCGCAAGGAGCGUCCUAGGGUAAAACUGGUGACUGGGGCUAAGUCGUAACAAGGUACC